CGGCCCAGGAGCGGCCUGCAGGGUUUGGAAACCCACAGCAGCGGGUCAGACCCGAGGAAAGAAACUGCAAUUGUGGAGAGCACCAGAUGCAGAACAGAAGUCUCUGCUGGUUUGCUUGUUGCAAAAGGCCCCCGCUGACUUUACCUUUGGGUCUGUUCUACCAUCUCUCAUUGUUUCACGGAAACUGAUGCAGGCUGCGUAUCGGCAGCGUAGGGGAACGAACCGGAUGAGAGGAGAAUAUUUAUUUAUUAUGGGAAUGUCUGAAGUUAUCCUUUCUGCUGGCUUUUGGCUCAAGGAGGAGCACCCCGCGUGCCACCCAGAGUCAAAGGGUAAGUGCAGUGAAAAAUAACAAUCAAAGAAAAAAAAACCAGCAAGGAAAAAGAAAAAAAAAAGAAAGGAAAAGGAAAGAGGUAGCGUUGCAAGUAAAGCUGGGAGAUUGCCAUUAAGAAGAAAAAAAAAAAAAAAUUAAAAAGGUGGGGG
RNAcentral lists this long non-coding RNA (480 nucleotides) under Gallus gallus (chicken). RNAcentral describes it as "lncRNA (ENSGALG00010029876.1)". The record is from RNAcentral. Lineage: Eukaryota; Metazoa; Chordata; Aves; Galliformes; Phasianidae.